Molecule: long non-coding RNA, 426 nt
Filed under: Brassica napus (rape)
Lineage: Eukaryota; Viridiplantae; Streptophyta; Magnoliopsida; Brassicales; Brassicaceae
Description: long non-coding RNA (BNAP_LNC009149)
Source: RNAcentral
GUUUGAAGGGCCAAGGAGAACGAACAAAUUAGAAGACAAUUAGCUCAAUAAUAUCAAAUGCAAAUAUUAUUUUAAUAAAUUGAAAGUAGCCGAAUUAAAAAAAAAAACACUAGUGCAAAGAUCAUCACAUUGUAUAUUUACUAAAAACAAAAUUCGAUUUUGGUGCUUAGCGAAGAAAACAUGUCAAAGGAAAGUUGGUACGUAGGCUGUAGGGGAGUAUAUUAUAUACAGUCUCUAGUACUGUGAUCGAAAUGCUUUUUUAGGUGAAUAUUAGUUCACUAAACAUAGCAACUCUUUGAAUUAAUCUUUUGUUUUUGAAAUAAUACAGUGCGGUGGGGAUCGAAUAAUAUAUACGUGGGUCUGAAUCGAGAGGCAGGUAAGGUAAAGAAAGAGAUUGAUCAACAAACGAGAUUCGUUUGGUAAUGA